RNA transcript from Salvia splendens (bonfire salvia), 1299 nucleotides. It is a transcript of the gene named protein translocase subunit SecA 1, with no coding region annotated. Lineage: Eukaryota; Viridiplantae; Streptophyta; Magnoliopsida; Lamiales; Lamiaceae. The record is from RefSeq and is a predicted model, not a curated record. The transcript is spliced from 6 exons.
CAUAAUGCUCCGAUCAAUUCUCUCAUCUCCCUUCUGCCGGAAUCUCUCUUCGUCCACUCUCCGCCACAUCUCUACGACGCCGCAUCUCAGCUUCUCAUGGAUGGACAAGGUCAAAGGAGUUCUUACCGGCCAGAAGACCGAACCCCCACCCUCACAAUCGGCCCAGUCGUUCACCCUUCUUCUAUUUGCGGAGGAGAUGAGGAAGGCUAGGAAAUUGGGGACUUUGAAGCAAUUCGUAGUUGGCCGAAGCAGUGAGGCCACUUUUAACGAUGCCUUUGAGAAGCAAGAGGCCAUAAUUCGAUACCUAGGCGGUGUCGAUAAUACUGGGGAGAACAUCCAAACCAAGCACAAGCAGGAUGCAGCAAAACAAUGUAAUUGCACGCUGGCAGAGGUUGAGAAUACCUUAGCUAAGUUUACGUGGGCCAAGCAAGCUCAGGCAAAGCUUGAACAACUUCAAGCUGAAGGCAAACCUAUCCCAAAGAGCAUGUCCGAGAUCCAGAAAAUGAUGGGAUCAUCUGCAUUGGAUCUUGCAAGAUCAAACAUGGCAAAAAGUGGGAAAACAAGUAGAAAUUCACCCUGCCCCUGUGGUUCUAAGAAGUUGUACAAGAGGAAGUGAGAAGACAUUAUGGGGACCCAACAUGUUAAACCGCUCAUGUUUCAAAAGAAUCAGUCUUAUACUUUUCAUAUUGGCUUGAGUCUUCUGAGAAGUACUUGACCAAUUCCUUCUCCAGCUUCGUGGGAGAGUACUACUAUUCAUUCCAUGUUUCUAUUUGCAUAUUCUUUUUCGCCCUUGAAUCAAAACAUGUGAUAUAAUAUGGUCAUGUUGGAGUCUGCUGAUUAGGUUUGGUUUUUGAAGGUGCUGCGGCAAGGACAAGAGCAGUUGAGAGCAACUUGGGUUGUUGAGUUGAGGGAGAAGUGGAAAAGGAAAGGUUGAAUUAGGAACAUAAUGUGCAUUGCUUCUUCUUGGAUGACUACAUGGGGAUUUUCCGAGUAGUCGAUUCAUAUUUCAUAGACAUGUUGGCACCUUUAGAAGCAGGGGCCUAGUAGCUUGCCAUGAGACACCAUUAUCAAUCACCAGCUUAUGUAUGAGUGGUAACUAUACACAGAUUAUACUUGUAAGAUUAUGACCACUUCUCAUCAGGAUCUGUACAGUCCAUACCAAAUCUCUUGUUUUUUUUUGCUUGCAUGUUUUAAACUUCACUGAAGUUUGUAUAUUUGAUUAAUUUUGAUUUGAUUUCUUGUAGUACCUGUUUCUGAGUAAUGCUUAGUGCUAAAUCAUUUGAUAAAAUAUUCGAUUUC